UCAUAUGCAUCAGCUUUUGGGUGGUCCAUCAGAACGUGAAGGACUGAAACCAGUGAUCAAGCGGGAACCUGGGUUCUACUGUCAACCCCUUAGUGCUGCUGAAAGAUUGAGCAAACAGCAUCCGCCUUGAUAAAAAGAGCUGUGUGACAGGUUGAAAAGAAGGCUUUGGAGUACUCUGAAAAGCAGCUUUCUCUGGGAUGGAUGACUUGACCUGUGAGUGGAUAUGUGGUGUUGCUAUGUCAGGUUCAGAGGACUUGAGGAAGGAAGAAUCUCACAGCCCAUCAACACAGCAAGGGAAACAACAGAGCAGUGGGUUGUACUUGAACUUGGACUGUCAGAUGGCAAGGGUUAGCUCUCCUUCAGUUUCUUCCUAUACAGCCAUAACACUACACAAAUGUGUCUCAGGGAAAGCAGCUGCCUUUACUGAACUCUCUGUUUCCCUCUUAAGCAGGAAAUCUCUUAAACCAUUAAACUGUGAAAUAAACUGCAUUGCUUCUGCUGCCCAAGGCACUUUCCUUGACCUUGGCUAGAAGGGCAAAUUGUCCUAUCUUUAAAGGAGCCAUAACAUGGGUCUUAUGCUCACCAUCCAUAGUAUGGCUCCUCCAUGGGCUUCCUUGGCAUCCAGAGAAAUGCCAGACCCACUCCUCUUCCUGUGCCUGACUCCCACAGCUUCUCCUCUGCCACCUUAGGAGGUUGCCAAGCAACCUCCCGUUAGAGGAGUGAGCAAGAGCUGUCAAAUUUAUUAUUAUUUGUCUUAAAGUAGCAAUGUCUCCUACAUAACUGAAAAAAUAUAAGAGAUAAGUAAUUUUUGGUUGAAUAUCACAAUUAGGACUCAUCUUCUUGCCUCUCCCCACUUCCUCACUUGGUGUCCUGCAUGGUUUCAGAGGACCCAGGAAAAGGUUGCACCUGAAUACAUGGAAUGAAAUCAAGUUUGAAACCCACUCUGUUUUUCUGAUUUGCAGCUGCUUUAGGAGUGAGUGGACCAGCAGGGUCUCCCACACAGCUGAAUUUAGAAUCUGAAACGCUGCAGGAAAUUGAAGCCACAGGGGCAGGUUUUAUUUUCCAAAGGCAGUGAAAUUAUAUGUAUUUAAAAACAAAACAAGAUGUAAAUACAGCUACAAUAUAUUUCUCAUAGUGGUUGGCAUGUCUAAUGUAUGCUAACUGGGAUUCUUCUGACUGACUUUAAAGGGUGACAGAAAUAACUGUAGAGCAGGGGAGAGCUGGCAGUGACACCUGAAGUCACUUAGCAUGGUGUAGUCUGUGCUCCACACACGCUACACCCAUGCACAGGUUCACAAGGAAUCCAUACAAGAUGACACAAGUUGUAUGUGCAGGUCCAGUUUGGAUAGUGGGUCACAUCUGGGGACAAGCAACCACCACGUCCCCUUCACCCAAACUCCUGCUCUGACCCCUGACAGACUCGUGGGCUUUAUCUGGCCCUAGAGACAUGAAGGUUUUAUAGAAGUUUUGUAAAGAGACAUCAUGGUAAGAUUAAUAAUACAUAGAAUGUAACUGGGUCAUCAAUCAGGACUUGAUAAAAAUGCCUGAAUAAUGAACAAACAUGUUCACUAGCACGUUUGUGGACCAACAUUUCAGGUGUCAAUUGCUGCUACCUCACGUGAGCACAGUGUUUGCUUACUGGUUCUGUUCAAACAUAAUGGGUAGUAAUGGAAAUGCAGGCUUGUGAUUCAUAGGCUUCAUGAAUUUGCACCAAGUUUGAGUUCUCUGUUCAUUACUUGUCCUUUUUUGGCUUCUUUGGAAAAAAACAAAAGGAACUCAGGAAAAGAAGUCAUGGAAAAGAAGCAAAGGUUUUGGGGCUAAAACUACACCAGUGAUAAUUACGGGAAACAAAUAAAUACCAAGUGAGAUCACCAUUCAUCCACAGGUAAA
Passer domesticus (house sparrow) is the source of this 1890-nucleotide long non-coding RNA. RefSeq lists it as uncharacterized. The record is from RefSeq and is a predicted model, not a curated record. The transcript has 3 exons. Lineage: Eukaryota; Metazoa; Chordata; Aves; Passeriformes; Passeridae.